This is a non-coding RNA of Drosophila melanogaster (fruit fly), 103 nucleotides long. The record is from Ensembl. NCBI's taxonomy places the organism in Eukaryota, Metazoa, Arthropoda, Insecta, Diptera, Drosophilidae.
GUCGAUGCCGGCGUUUCCCGCUCCAGGCUGUCGUCCAUGGAGUUUGUGUUGUCAGCAUUCAGCUCGGUGGAUGUCAGCCAGCGGUGGAAGGCGUCGUCUCGCU